Oncorhynchus tshawytscha (Chinook salmon) is the source of this 2210-nucleotide long non-coding RNA. Lineage: Eukaryota; Metazoa; Chordata; Actinopteri; Salmoniformes; Salmonidae. The record is from Ensembl.
CCCAGACUCUGCAACACCACUAAGCAAGGGGCAACACAAGGAAGUGACACCACGAAGACCAAGGAGCUCACCAAACAGGUCUUGGGAAGAACCAUUCGACAAAUAAAACAGUUGCGAUGGGGCAUCAAAGUGUGGUUCCGGCUGACCGAAAGAAAAUAUGUGGUUCCACUAAUGUUCCCCUGUGAGGCAAACAUUGUGUGCAGCCCUGCGCUAACAACCUAAUGCCACAUGUUAUCAAAAGAUUAUCUUUGAUGACAGUAUCUGGCCUGGGUUGACAGAAAAUAAGGAUGAAGAGGAUGAUGAAGCGUACCCUAUCCAAAUGAGGUGUCGCAUUGUGGGAUACCUCUGGCUAUUUGUUGAGACUGGUAUUGUCACAUCUGCCUAUUAUUGUCCUUUUUCUAUCCCAAGUAUUGUGCACCUGGGCUCCAAAAGGCUAGUUCGAUAGUUAUUGUGCUUGCGGAAAGUAAAAUAACUUGUCAUUCAAUUUCUUAUUUUACUUUGAUUUCCACAAUGUGGAAAAGUAACAAGCUGUUUGAACUUUCAAAAAUGUCUACACAUGUGACUAUCUCACAACAUACAUCCUUCUCCCUGUGGAUCUCCAGCUUAUUAGCUUUCAGUUGAUCUCGGAUUUCUCUCACUCACAAUAGAGAGAGACAUGGUCCUCUUGCAUAAGUAUAAUUUAGUUCUAAGGAUGAACAAGGGUUUAGUUAUUUAUUAGAGGGAAUAUGUCUAAAACAUGUUAUGGGGACUAGGGUAUAAUUAUUUCAAUGAACAAUUUAGAGCCUGUUAGUGUUCAAUGAAAAACUGUCAAACAAGACUGCUUUGAGCAAGCCUACUAUUUUUGUUUCAUGUCCUCAGUAGGGGCCUUUCAGUAAUUCACCUUUACUGCUCAGCAUUAUUGCAAUACCCAUACAGUACAGAAGUCAUUUUAAUAUUUUCUUCUCUUUUCGCAUCAACGAUACUCAUGUAACUCUUUAAGUUCUGGAAGGGAUGGGAGAUCCUCACAGGAGAUUUGGAGAUUGUGUGUGUGAAGAUCUCCCGAGGUCGUCUCCUUGUUUCCAACCAAUCCGUCUGCCAGGGCACUACACUGAAUUUGGGGAGUCCUGCGUCGCACUUGCAUAGCCACUAGUGACACAGGCUUUGGGCUAGUCUACUGUUGCCACACUCAAGCACUUCUACUUGCCUCUAUCCUGACUAUGUAGUUUGGUUUUGUGUUCAUAGAUAGCGAGAGAGAGAUCAUUGGGAGAUCUUUCCAACAAUCUAUAUUCAAGUUCAACUUUGAUAUAAUCAUGAACAUCAUGGUUUAGAAUUUUUUUCGUGGGCAAACAAAUAAUCCUGGAAUGUGUUUUAGAGGGGCAGUCAACAGUUUAAACAGUGUUCUCCCCGUUUUGGUAAAAAGAUGAGGGAGGGCUCGGGAGUUAUAUAACCCCUUGCCAGUACGUAGACCAAGCUAUGCAUGCAAGGACUGGCCAUCAAUGAUAUCCAAAUUUAACAAUGUUUUGAAGCUAUAUAGUGUUUCUUUACAUUUACUUUGUUUAUAAGAAUUUGAGUAACACAACCUUUUUGGAUUCAGAUGGGGGUAAGAUAGUAGUUGAAUUAAUGAAGCAUUUAUUGUUAGUCUUUAAGAAUCCAUUGGUACAUAAUUAAUGUUCUCAAAAAUGUAUGCAGCAACUGCAGACUGGCCAUUUAAGUCAGUAAAAUUGCAUAAUGUACCCUUAUCACUUAUGGCAUUCUGUGCCAUCAGCUUUUUGCUCCUGUGAAUUAUAUUAUUUUUGUUUAAAUGGGUAAAUAAUUGAACCGUGCACCAGGGGUACUUGUGACUGAUUGCUGAAAUAAAGAGCCUGUUGGAGUAUUUCAUUUAUUAAUAUGAUUGCAGUGGGUGUUGGACAUAUAGAUCACGUCCGUGUGACUCUGAAGGGGAUAGGGGGUCAACCACUGACAGAAGCGCUGUCAUUUCUAGCUCAGAGUGGGCAUUCAAACUUGGGGACUAUAAGUCCUCUUUCCGAGGCCUCAUAGGUCAUCACUUCACUCUCCCAGUCAAUGUUUGGGUCUAGAAGGUCCUAGAAAGGAAAACAUCUUAGAUAUACUGUAGAUGUCUUUGGCAGCAAUAGUAUAUUUUUUGUAGGCACUAACUCUGCCACGGUUGUUGGACAAAGCCUGUAGGAAAAUUUGGCUUUUUGGAUAAUGACCUAAAAUAAGGUCUAUGGUAA